UACAUAGCUUUUCCAGUGAUU
RNAcentral lists this non-coding RNA (21 nucleotides) under Caenorhabditis elegans. The record is from RNAcentral. Lineage: Eukaryota; Metazoa; Nematoda; Chromadorea; Rhabditida; Rhabditidae.